This 1535-nucleotide long non-coding RNA is filed under the name Homo sapiens (human). RNAcentral's name for it is "HSALNT0221085". Lineage: Eukaryota; Metazoa; Chordata; Mammalia; Primates; Hominidae. The record is from RNAcentral.
UUCUGUUCCAACAGUAACCACCCCCAACUGCUACCACCCAAGAUAAGCAGGUGUGGCUCUGGGCCCCUCAGCAGCAGGCCAGUGGAGAGGUGAGACUAGCAGUGUGUGGCCUGGGACAGGAGUAGAUAAAAGGCAGCCAUGGAAAGAACUAUUCCUUCCAGCCCAGAACACUGUCUCUGAACAGCAAGAUGGCUUUGAAACGCUUUCACAACGAAGGUGUGCUCCACUGGGCACCACAACAUACGGUUCAGACGUUUAAAGCCUGUCUCAGCCCAAUUUCCUCUCCAUUUGCUCCCUGGGUAAGUGGUGGAGUCUAGAAGUCUGAGAUCAGGGCACCAGCCUGGCCGAGUUCUGAUGGCGUCUCGCUUUGUCACCCAGGCUGGAGUGCAGUGGCGCGAUCUCGGUUCACUGCAACAUCUACCUCCCAGGUUCAAGUGAUUCUCCUGCCUUAGCCUCCCGAGUAGCUGGGAUUACAGGCACCCACCACCACAUCCGGCGAAUUUUUUGUAUUUUUAGUAGAGACAGGGUUUCACCAUGUUGGCCAGGAUGGUCUUGAUUUCCUGACCUGGUGAUCUGCCCACCUUGGCCUCCCAAACUGCUGGGAUUGCAGGCGUGAGCCACCGUGCCUGGCCGACCACUGAUCUUUUCACUGUAUCCACAGUGUUGCCUUUUCCAGAAUGUCAUAGAAUUUGAAUCAUACUAUAUGUUGCCCUUUCAGAUGAGUUUCUUUCACUUACUAAUAUUCAUUUGUUUCCUCCAUGUCUUUUGGCUUGAUAAUUCAUUUCUUUUUAUCACUGAAUAAUAUUCCAUUGUCUGAUGUACCACAGUUUAUUUACGCAUUUACCUACUGAAGGAUAUCAGGACAUCUUAGUUGCCUCUGAGUUUUUGGCAAUUAUGAAUAAAACUGCUAUAGAAAGAUGUGUGCAGGUUUUUCUGUGGAUAUAGUUUUCAACUCCUUUGGGUAACUCCAAGGAGUGUGGUCGCUGGAUCAUAUAGUAAGAGUAUGUGUAGUUUUGUAACAAAUAGCCAAAUGUUCUCCAAAGUGGCAUUAGCAUUUUGCUUUCCCACCAGCAAGGAAUAAGAGUUCCUGUUGCUCUGUAUCCUCACCAGCAUUUGGUGGUGUCAGUGUUCUGGAUUUUGGCCAUUGUAAUAAAUGUGUGGUGUUAUCUCAUUGUUGUUUUAAUUUGCAUUUGCCUGAUGACAUACAAUGUGGAACAUCUUUUUAUUGAAGCUAAUGUUUUAAGCCUGGCAAUUUAGUCUCUUCUCUUCCUGUAACCCUGAGCCACUGAGCACAGCUUUCUCCAGAAGCACCUGUGAGUCACUAUACACCACUGCUAUCUCCUGAAUGCUGGAGGCACUGGAGUGGGCCCUUUCAACUUUCAUUUUCUUAUUACCUAGAGAACUUGGCAUUGGUAGAUGCCCAAAAAAUGUAUGUGAGAUGCCUGCACAUUAAAAGACUGGCUGAAAACUUAAGCAGUAUACUGGUUUAGAUCAUUCAUCGCUGUCGGCAAGAGUAAAAAGCUAUGUAGCAGCAU